Molecule: long non-coding RNA, 1133 nt
Filed under: Triticum aestivum (bread wheat)
Lineage: Eukaryota; Viridiplantae; Streptophyta; Magnoliopsida; Poales; Poaceae
Description: long non-coding RNA (TAES_LNC024530)
Source: RNAcentral
AAAAACAGAGGAGGAGCAUUGACGAUAGAAGUACCGAUACAAUUUUUGAAGCUUGUUUUUACGUGUAAGAACCAAUUACCAUCAGUGAGCGGUUAUAGGAUGCAACUCAUCAAUCAUAUACAUUGUUGUUUUCUUACCGAACAAACAUCAAGUGGAAAAACUACAAACAAUCUUCAGUGUCCAUCCCCGCGGCACAUCAUCAUUCUUGAAACUGGAAAUAAAGAAAGGUCUAAAUUGGCAGUAAUAUGGUAUGAAAAAGAAUUAAAUAGUACUCAAGUCCAGCAGAUUAUAUAGACACUAAGCAGAAAAAUACACUCAAAUGGGUCAUGCUUUCUACUCCACAAUGCUUAGAACGGAGGGGAGUUAACAAAUCAAUAAUAGUAAAUAGGCUCAAAAUUACAAUUUGUUAUUAUCGUCGUUGGACGACCAAAAUUAGCAACACAAUCAGGGGGCCGUGUAGGCAUCUACGUUUAAUAACAGAAAAGGUAGGGGACGUGUAGGCAUCUACGUUUAAUAAUAGAAAAGGUAGACAUUAAAUAUACAGAAUCAUGAGAAUGUAUGUUCUUACAUUGAAAAGAUGUUCAUCGCCGUCAUUGGAAGGAGGCACAAAGAGACACAUAAUUUUCAGAUGUAUAACAGUAUAAGCACAUUUUACACUGACAAUGAUAUAAGCAGAAACGGAUCACACUAUAGUCCAUUUACUACAUGUUCUCAGUCCAUCUACUAUAUAGUCCAGUUAAUUACUGCAUGCUCAUUUCCUCUAAAUGUGAAUAUAUAUGUAACAUUGAGAACAUGAUAUAUCUUGGGGUCUGGGAUAACACAUCUAAAUCCUAGGUAGACAUCCAGGUAUCCUAUAAAAUUAGGAACAAUAAAAGCAGAAAAUACCAAGAUUACUAUGAUUUUGUUUAACUUGGGGCAUCAAAUGUUCAUGCAAAAGAUAAGAUCAUAAUAGAAAGGAUCAACAUAUUUCCAAUAGAACUCACCUUCUAAUUUUUUGAGGAUUCUUUCGGUACACAACAUAAGCCUUCAAACAUUUGAGCACAUGAUAUAUCUUGAAAACUGCAGCACCUUGUGCAAACCAACCUGCACAAAAGACACAAUGCAUUUUCUUUUCUUCAGAAACACCACUUUUG